RNAcentral lists this ribosomal RNA (159 nucleotides) under Herpotrichiellaceae sp. RNAcentral's name for it is "partial large subunit ribosomal RNA". It matches the Rfam family "Eukaryotic large subunit ribosomal RNA", at positions 99 to 261 of the family's 3401-position model. The record is from RNAcentral. Lineage: Eukaryota; Fungi; Ascomycota; Eurotiomycetes; Chaetothyriales; Herpotrichiellaceae.
CGGCAACAGCUCAAAUUUGAAAUCUGGCACCCGCCCGAGUUGUAAUUUGUAGAGGAUGUUUUGGGUACCGCGCUGGUUUAAAUUUCUUGGAACAGAAUGUCAGAGAGGGUGAGAAUCCCGUCUUGGACCGGCGUAGGGCCCGUGUAAAACUCCUUCGAC